CUAGGAAUCUUGCACAAUGGGCGAAAGCCUGAUGCAGCGACGCCGCGUGGGCGAUGAAGUCCUUCGGGAUGUAAAGCCCUUUUCGGGGGGAAGACAUCGACGGUACCCCCGGAAUAAGCACCGGCGAACUACGUG
Molecule: ribosomal RNA, 135 nt
Filed under: uncultured bacterium
Lineage: Bacteria
Description: partial 16S ribosomal RNA
Rfam family: Bacterial small subunit ribosomal RNA
Source: RNAcentral